Molecule: ribosomal RNA, 256 nt
Filed under: uncultured bacterium
Lineage: Bacteria
Description: partial 16S ribosomal RNA
Rfam family: Bacterial small subunit ribosomal RNA
Source: RNAcentral
CGUAGGUGGCAAGCGUUGUCCGGAAUUAUUGGGCGUAAAGCGCGCGCAGGCGGUCCUUUAAGUCUGAUGUGAAAGCCCACGGCUCAACCGUGGAGGGUCAUUGGAAACUGGAGGACUUGAGUGCAGAAGAGGAAAGUGGAAUUCCAAGUGUAGCGGUGAAAUGCGUAGAGAUUUGGAGGAACACCAGUGGCGAAAGGCGACUUUCUGGUCUGUAACUGACGCUGAGGCGCGAAAGCGUGGGGAGGCAAACAGGAUU